CGUACACUCCUGCGGGAGGCAGCAGUGGGGAAUAUUAGACAAUGGGCGCAAGCCUGAUCCAGCCAUGCCGCGUGAGUGAUGAAGGCCCUAGGGUUGUAAAGCUCUUUCACCGGUGAAGAUAAUGACGGUAACCGGAGAAGAAGCCCCGGCUAACUUCGUGCCAGCAGCCGCGGUAAUACGAAGGGGGCUAGCGUUGUUCGGAUUUACUGGGCGUAAAGCGCACGUAGGCGGACUAUUAAGUCAGGGGUGAAAUCCCGGGGCUCAACCCCGGAACUGCCUUUGAUACUGGUAGUCUUGAGUUCGAGAGAGGUGAGUGGAAUUCCGAGUGUAGAGGUGAAAUUCGUAGAUAUUCGGAGGAACACCAGUGGCGAAGGCGGCUCACUGGCUCGAUACUGACGCUGAGGUGCGAAAGCGUGGGGAGCAAACAGGAUUAGAUACCCCGGUAGUCC
This 449-nucleotide ribosomal RNA is filed under the name uncultured organism. Its description in RNAcentral is "partial 16S ribosomal RNA". It matches the Rfam family "Bacterial small subunit ribosomal RNA", at positions 330 to 796 of the family's 1533-position model. The record is from RNAcentral.